Molecule: long non-coding RNA, 598 nt
Organism: Planococcus citri (citrus mealybug)
Lineage: Eukaryota; Metazoa; Arthropoda; Insecta; Hemiptera; Pseudococcidae
Exons: 4
Source: RefSeq, a predicted model, not a curated record
GUGAGACAAAGACAUAAGACAGAUGGACAACGUCCAGUUCUACGUACGUACUUUCGUAGGGUAAAAAUAAAAUUGUCAGUCGCGUAUUUUAAAAAUACACUAUACAGUGAAGUGAAAUUGAAUUGAGUUGAUAGAAAUAGAAAAUUCAAAAGAAAAAGGCUACAUUUCACCGAAACUGCAGCUGAGUCAUUUGAAAUGUGUCUGCAACGCCCUGAAGAUCGGAAGGAAAUUCCACUUCCAUCGCAUCAAAACCAAGAGAGCUUGGACGAAUUUGAUAGGAGGAUAGGAGAGAAACUUCGUCUAGCCUUGGGCAGGGACCGUGCCGACAAAUUGGCCGAAUACAUUUUACAAAUGACCGAAGAUGAGCGGUUGGAAUUUCUCGCAAAAGUUUCAAAGAUAGCGGGAUACGAGUUAUUUAACUGGGAUGCUUGAAUGUAUCGAAUUCCUACACAUCCGUAUCAUUUUAACCUGAAAUUCCGUUAAAUGUUUUCAUUAAUCGAUUUAUAAUUCAUAUCAUAUUUCAUAUUUUUGAUUAAUCGUUUUUGCUAAUCACUUUGUAGUUGGUUAUUUGCUUAAAUUAUAAUUCGGGUAUUUCUGA